Molecule: ribosomal RNA, 442 nt
Filed under: uncultured bacterium
Lineage: Bacteria
Description: partial 16S ribosomal RNA
Rfam family: Bacterial small subunit ribosomal RNA
Source: RNAcentral
AUGAACGCUGGCGGCAUGCCUAACACAUGCAAGUCGAUCGGUAAGGCUCUUCGGAGUACACGAGAGGCGGACGGCUGAGUAACGCGUAGGAACACACCCUGCAGUGAGGGAUAAGACACCGAAAGGUGUUCUAAUACCGCAUACGGUCUUCGGAUUAAAGCAUUUAUGCGCUGAAGGAGUGGCCUGCGUCAUAUUAGAUAGUUGGUGAGGUAAUGGCUCACCAAGUCGAUGAUGUGUAGCUGGUCUGAGAGGAUGAUCAGCCAGACUGGAACUGAGACACGGUCCAGACUCCUACGGGAGGCAGCAGUGAGGAAUAUUUCACAAUGAGCGAAAGCGUGAUGGAGCAAUGCCGCGUGCAGGAUGAAGGCCCUCGGGUUGUAAACUGCUUUUAUAAGAGAAGAUUAUGACGGUAACUUAUGAAUAAGGGACGGCUAACUACGUG